AGCAGCCGCCGCGGUAAUACAGAGGGUGCGAGCGUUAAUCGGAUUUACUGGGCGUAAAGCGUGCGUAGGCGGCUAAUUGAGUCGGAUGUGAAAUCCCCGAGCUUAACUUGGGAAUUGCAUUCGAUACUGGUUAGCUAGAGUGUGGGAGAGGAUGGUAGAAUUCCAGGUGUAGCGGUGAAAUGCGUAGAGAUCUGGAGGAAUACCGAUGGCGAAGGCAGCCAUCUGGCCUAACACUGACGCUGAGGUACGAAAGCAUGGGGAGCAAACAGGAUUAGAUACCCCCGUAGUCCCUGUCUCUUAUAC
This 303-nucleotide ribosomal RNA is filed under the name uncultured bacterium. RNAcentral's name for it is "partial 16S ribosomal RNA". It matches the Rfam family "Bacterial small subunit ribosomal RNA", at positions 507 to 807 of the family's 1533-position model. The record is from RNAcentral.